This 26-nucleotide transfer RNA is filed under the name Eriolarynx lorentzii. Its description in RNAcentral is "partial tRNA-Phe". The record is from RNAcentral. Lineage: Eukaryota; Viridiplantae; Streptophyta; Magnoliopsida; Solanales; Solanaceae.
GUGGGUANAGCAGAGGACUGAAAAUC